This 410-nucleotide long non-coding RNA is filed under the name Nicotiana benthamiana. Its description in RNAcentral is "long non-coding RNA (NBEN_LNC039663)". The record is from RNAcentral. Lineage: Eukaryota; Viridiplantae; Streptophyta; Magnoliopsida; Solanales; Solanaceae.
UCUGAAGAUAUAACUAAAGAAAUACCAAAAUGGUCAGCAAAAACAGAAAAUACGAUUCUAGAAACAAAAUUACCGAUAGUAAAAGUAGGACAAUAUAUUGUAACCACCUUAGUAGGAAAUGUUAAAUAAUGGUAUGAAAAUUUAGGAGAAGAAAUGAUAAAAGCAUUACAUGCAGCUACAGAUGCUAAUGCACAGCCUACAACAGAUGUAAGUAAAAUACUUCAAAAAUUUGUAAUAUCAAUUACAGCUGAAUUUAGUACGCCAGGAACAGUAAAUUCAAUGAUUCGUAAAAAUAUAGAAAAGCAAGAAAUAAUCUAUUAAAUUUAGUUAUUUGUGAUUUAUGCUAUUAUGAAGAAUAUGUAUGUGUAUUUAGUAAUUAUUUUCAUAAAGGAAGAUUUAAUAACAAUGAA